This 399-nucleotide long non-coding RNA is filed under the name Cricetulus griseus (Chinese hamster). RNAcentral describes it as "lncRNA (ENSCGRG00000024228.1)". The record is from RNAcentral. Lineage: Eukaryota; Metazoa; Chordata; Mammalia; Rodentia; Cricetidae.
UGACACUAGUCUCUGUUUCUGAGAAAAUGUGAUAGGUGGUUUUCACAAGAAGUCACCUAUUUUCUUUCAUAUAAAUUCCUUCGAGCAAAACAUCUGUGAACACUUGAUGCCUAAAAGACAAGAUGGCUUCCCUCUUGGGAGUUUCUCAAAGUUGUUUUCAGCCACCAAAUCAGUAUGAGUCAGAGUUGAAUAGGCUCCCACACAUUGAUGUACCAUCAUCGCCAUCAUAUCACAGUAGGCGUCACUUCCUGCAAAAGAAAAGACUGCACUAGGGAAAUUCAUUUCAAUAGCCUUUUAUUUUAUCAGAAGUGUCUAUGUAUAAGGUAAAAUUAUGUUUUAUUCAGCCACCAGAGGGAGCCGCCAAAUCUAUGGAUUCUGAAAAAAGACAUAAGACUGAAG